Molecule: ribosomal RNA, 271 nt
Filed under: uncultured prokaryote
Description: partial 16S ribosomal RNA
Rfam family: Bacterial small subunit ribosomal RNA
Source: RNAcentral
CACGAACCGUACGAACGUUAUUCGGAAUUACUGGGCUUAAAGGGUUUGUAGGCGGCCAUGUAAGUCAGGUGUGAAAUCCCUCGGCUCAACCGAGGAACGGCGCUUGAUACUGCAUGGCUUGAGGGAGACAGGGGUAAGCGGAACUGAUGGUGGAGCGGUGAAAUGCGUUGAUAUCAUCAGGAACACCGGUGGCGAAAGCGGCUUACUGGGUCUCUUCUGACGCUGAGGAACGAAAGCUAGGGUAGCGAACGGGAUUAGAAACCCCUAGUCC